CCUACGGGUGGCAGCAGUGGGGAAUAUUGCACAAUGGGCGCAAGCCUGAUCCAGUAACGCCGCGUGAAGGAAGAAGGGUUUCGGGUCGUAAAAUUCUAUCAACAGGGACGAAAGAAAUAACGGUACCUGAAUAAGAAGCCCCGGCUAACUACGUGCCAGCAGCCGCGGUAAUACGUAGGGGGCAAGCGUUAUCCGGAUUUACUGGGUGUAAAGGGGGAGUAGGCGGCAAGGUAAGCCUGAUGUGAAAGCCUUGGGGUCAACCCGAGGAUUGCAUUGGCAACUGUCAAGCUAGAGUGCAGGAGAGGAAAGCGGAAUUCCUAGUGUAGCGGUGAAAUGCGUAGAUAUUAGGAAGAACACCAGUGGCGAAGGCGGCUUUCUGGACUGAAACUGACGCUGAGGCACGAAAGCGUGGGGAGCGAACAGGAUUAGAUACCCUUGUAGUC
This 443-nucleotide ribosomal RNA is filed under the name uncultured bacterium. RNAcentral's name for it is "partial 16S ribosomal RNA". It matches the Rfam family "Bacterial small subunit ribosomal RNA", at positions 338 to 795 of the family's 1533-position model. The record is from RNAcentral.